This 490-nucleotide ribosomal RNA is filed under the name uncultured bacterium. RNAcentral describes it as "bacterial SSU rRNA". It matches the Rfam family "Bacterial small subunit ribosomal RNA", at positions 29 to 511 of the family's 1533-position model. The record is from RNAcentral.
AGUGAACGCUGGCGGCAUGCUUUACACAUGCAAGUCGAACGGCAGCACGGGAGCUUGCUCCUGGCGGCGAGCGGCGAACGGGUGAGUAAUGCUUCGGAAUCUGCCCUUCAGUGGGGAAUAACCAGUCGAAAGACUGGCUAAUACCGCAUACGAACUGAGGUUGAAAGCAGGGGAUCGCAAGACCUUGCGCUGAUGGAUGAGCCGAAGUCGGAUUAGCUUGUUGGUGGGGUAAUGGCCUACCAAGGCGACGAUCCGUAGCUGGUCUGAGAGGACGACCAGCCACACUGGGACUGAGACACGGCCCAGACUCCUACGGGAGGCAGCAGUGGGGAAUAUUGGACAAUGGGGGGCAACCCUGAUCCAGCGACGCCGCGUGUGUGAAGAAGGCCUGCGGGUUGUAAAGCACUUUUAGUGGGGGGGAAGUCUGCGACCUAACACGUCGUGGAAUUGACUUAACCCACAGAAAAAGCACCGGCUAACUCUGUGCCAG